GAUGAACGCUGGCGGCGUGCCUAAUACAUGCAAGUCGAGCGAACGGACGAGAAGCUUGCUUCUCUGAUGUUAGCGGCGGACGGGUGAGUAACACGUGGAUAACCUACCUAUAAGACUGGGAUAACUUCGGGAAACCGGAGCUAAUACCGGAUAAUAUUUUGAACCGCAUGGUUCAAAAGUGAAAGACGGUCUUGCUGUCACUUAUAGAUGGGUCCGCGCUGCAUUAGCUAGUUGGUAAGGUAACGGCUUACCAAGGCAACGAUGCAUAGCCGACCUGAGAGGGUGAUCGGCCACACUGGUACUGAGACACGGUCCAGACUCCUACGGGAGGCAGCAGUAGGGAAUCUUCCGCAAUGGGCGAAAGCCUGACGGAGCAACGCCGCGUGAGUGAUGAAGGUCUUCGGAUCGUAAAACUCUGUUAUUAGGGAAGAACAUAUGUGUAAGUAACUGUGCACAUCUUGACGGUACCUAAUCAGAAAGCCACGGCUAACUACGUG
Molecule: ribosomal RNA, 497 nt
Filed under: uncultured bacterium
Lineage: Bacteria
Description: partial 16S ribosomal RNA
Rfam family: Bacterial small subunit ribosomal RNA
Source: RNAcentral